RNAcentral lists this ribosomal RNA (253 nucleotides) under uncultured bacterium. Its description in RNAcentral is "partial 16S ribosomal RNA". It matches the Rfam family "Bacterial small subunit ribosomal RNA", at positions 524 to 776 of the family's 1533-position model. The record is from RNAcentral.
UACGGGGGGGGCAAGCGUUGUUCGGAAUUACUGGGCGUAAAGGGUUUGUAGGGGGCUUGUUAAGUCAGACGUGAAAUCCCUCAGCUUAACUGGGGAACUGCGUCUGAUACUGGCGAGCUUGAGUGCAGGAGAGGAACGCGGAAUUCCAGGUGUAGCGGUGAAAUGCGUAGAUAUCUGGAGGAACACCGGUGGCGAAGGCGGCGUUCUGGACUGCUUCUGACACUGAAUAACGAAAGCCAGGGGAGCAAACGGG